RNAcentral lists this ribosomal RNA (744 nucleotides) under uncultured bacterium. Its description in RNAcentral is "bacterial SSU rRNA". It matches the Rfam family "Bacterial small subunit ribosomal RNA", at positions 59 to 803 of the family's 1533-position model. The record is from RNAcentral.
CAGUCGAGCGAAGCACUUAAGUUUGAUUCUUCGGAUGAAGACUUUUGUGACUGAGCGGCGGACGGGUGAGUAACGCGUGGGUAACCUGCCUCAUACAGGGGGAUAACAGUUAGAAAUGACUGCUAAUACCGCAUAAGACCACGGUACCGCAUGGUACAGUGGUAAAAACUCCGGUGGUAUGAGAUGGACCCGCGUCUGAUUAGGUAGUUGGUGGGGUAACGGCCUACCAAGCCGACGAUCAGUAGCCGACCUGAGAGGGUGACCGGCCACAUUGGGACUGAGACACGGCCCAGACUCCUACGGGAGGCAGCAGUGGGGAAUAUUGCACAAUGGAGGAAACUCUGAUGCAGCGACGCCGCGUGAAGGAUGAAGUAUUUCGGUAUGUAAACUUCUAUCAGCAGGGAAGAAAAUGACGGUACCUGACUAAGAAGCCCCGGCUAACUACGUGCCAGCAGCCGCGGUAAUACGUAGGGGGCAAGCGUUAUCCGGAUUUACUGGGUGUAAAGGGAGCGUAGACGGCACGGCAAGCCAGAUGUGAAAGCCCGGGGCUCAGCCCCGGGACUGCAUUUGGAACUGUUGAGCUAGAGUGUCGGAGAGGCAAGUGGAAUUCCUAGUGUAGCGGUGAAAUGCGUAGAUAUUAGGAGGAACACCAGUGGCGAAGGCGGCUUGCUGGACGAUGACUGACGUUGAGGCUCGAAAGCGUGNGGAGCAAACAGGANUAGAUACCCUGGUAGUCCACGCCGU